Molecule: unclassified non-coding RNA, 202 nt
Filed under: Hevea brasiliensis (rubber tree)
Lineage: Eukaryota; Viridiplantae; Streptophyta; Magnoliopsida; Malpighiales; Euphorbiaceae
Source: RNAcentral
GAAUUUCAUGUGCUUGAUAUGCCUGGUCCUAAGACCGUCAUCCUCUGGGAUAGACUGCAAAAUUGGCUUAAUGUAGCCAAAGGUCUGGCUUCUACUGAAGAAGCUAAGGACUUUAAGUUGGACCUUCUAAAAGAUGAGAUUGUAUUGUUGGAAAAGAAUCUUGCUGGCAAUCAUCUAAGCACGGGAUGCUGCCACAACGACU